RNAcentral lists this ribosomal RNA (440 nucleotides) under uncultured bacterium. RNAcentral describes it as "partial 16S ribosomal RNA". It matches the Rfam family "Bacterial small subunit ribosomal RNA", at positions 338 to 795 of the family's 1533-position model. The record is from RNAcentral.
CCUACGGGCGGCAGCAGUGGGGAAUAUUGCACAAUGGGGGAAACCCUGAUGCAGCGACGCCGCGUGAGUGAGGAAGUAUUUCGGUAUGUAAAGCUCUAUCAGCAGGGAAGAAAAUGACGGUACCUGACUAAGAAGCCUCGGCUAACUACGUGCCAGCAGCCGCGGUAAUACGUAGGAGGCGAGCGUUAUCCGGAAUGACUGGGCGUAAAGGGGGCGUAGGUGGGUUGGCAAGUUAGUAGCGAAAGUCCAAGGCUCAACCUUGGAACUGCUACUUAAACUGUUGGACUUGAGUGCAGGAGGGGCAAGCGGAAUUCCUAGUGUAGCGGUGGAAUGCGUAGAUAUUAGGAGGAACACCAGUGGCGAAGGCGGGUUGCUAGACUGUAACUGACGCUGAGGCACGAAAGCGUGGGGAGCAAACAGGAUUAGAUACCCGUGUAGUC